CGGUCAAGAACGCGGUGGCACAGUCGCUUGAGCUGAAGACGCUCGUCCCGUCUACCUCUACCUCUGGCUGUUCCACUAUGCCGAGAGAUUUUCAGAAAUAACAAAGUUUGAGGGAAGCAUUAUUAGGCCUGGAACUUGGUCUACUGUCGGAAUUCAGAGCCAUAAAGCAUUGGACUUGGACAAGCAACAAACAAUCAAAGACGCGUACGUGACUGCUCCAUGGUUCAGAGCUCUUCCAUGGCAGCAACCAGCGGUCCCAAGGCCAAG
This is a long non-coding RNA of Triticum dicoccoides, 267 nucleotides long. RefSeq lists it as uncharacterized. The transcript has 3 exons. NCBI's taxonomy places the organism in Eukaryota, Viridiplantae, Streptophyta, Magnoliopsida, Poales, Poaceae. The record is from RefSeq and is a predicted model, not a curated record.